Molecule: small nuclear RNA, 18 nt
Filed under: Arabidopsis thaliana (thale cress)
Lineage: Eukaryota; Viridiplantae; Streptophyta; Magnoliopsida; Brassicales; Brassicaceae
Description: snRNA_09754
Source: RNAcentral
UCGCACCACGAGGCGCUG